RNAcentral lists this ribosomal RNA (253 nucleotides) under uncultured bacterium. RNAcentral describes it as "partial 16S ribosomal RNA". It matches the Rfam family "Bacterial small subunit ribosomal RNA", at positions 524 to 776 of the family's 1533-position model. The record is from RNAcentral.
UACGUCGGGUGCGAGCGUUAAUCGGAAUUACUGGGCGUAAAGUGUGCGCAGGCGGCCGAGCAAGUCGAGUGUGAAAGCCCCGGGCUUAACUUGGGAAUUGCGCUCGAAACUACUUGGCUGGAGUGUGGCAGAGGAAGGUGGAAUUCCAGGUGUAGCGGUGAAAUGCGUAGAUAUCUGGAGGAACACCGGUGGCGAAGGCGGCAUCCUGGACCAACACUGACACUGAGGAGCGAAAGCCAGGGGAGCAAACGGG